Molecule: ribosomal RNA, 590 nt
Filed under: Escherichia coli
Lineage: Bacteria; Pseudomonadati; Pseudomonadota; Gammaproteobacteria; Enterobacterales; Enterobacteriaceae
Description: partial 23S ribosomal RNA
Rfam family: Bacterial large subunit ribosomal RNA
Source: RNAcentral
AUAAGUAACGAUAAAGCGGGUGAAAAGCCCGCUCGCCGGAAGACCAAGGGUUCCUGUCCAACGUUAAUCGGGGCAGGGUGAGUCGACCCCUAAGGCGAGGCCGAAAGGCGUAGUCGAUGGGAAACAGGUUAAUAUUCCUGUACUUGGUGUUACUGCGAAGGGGGGACGGAGAAGGCUAUGUUGGCCGGGCGACGGUUGUCCCGGUUUAAGCGUGUAGGCUGGUUUUCCAGGCAAAUCCGGAAAAUCAAGGCUGAGGCGUGAUGACGAGGCACUACGGUGCUGAAGCAACAAAUGCCCUGCUUCCAGGAAAAGCCUCUAAGCAUCAGGUAACAUCAAAUCGUACCCCAAACCGACACAGGUGGUCAGGUAGAGAAUACCAAGGCGCUUGAGAGAACUCGGGUGAAGGAACUAGGCAAAAUGGUGCCGUAACUUCGGGAGAAGGCACGCUGAUAUGUAGGUGAAGUCCCUCGCGGAUGGAGCUGAAAUCAGUCGAAGAUACCAGCUGGCUGCAACUGUUUAUUAAAAACACAGCACUGUGCAAACACGAAAGUGGACGUAUACGGUGUGACGCCUGCCCGGUGCCGGAAGGU